RNAcentral lists this ribosomal RNA (649 nucleotides) under uncultured Enterobacteriaceae bacterium. RNAcentral's name for it is "bacterial SSU rRNA". It matches the Rfam family "Bacterial small subunit ribosomal RNA", at positions 852 to 1502 of the family's 1533-position model. The record is from RNAcentral. Lineage: Bacteria; Pseudomonadati; Pseudomonadota; Gammaproteobacteria; Enterobacterales; Enterobacteriaceae.
CUAACGCGUUAAAUCGACGCUGGGGAGUACGGCCGCAAGGUUAAAACUCAAAUGAAUUGACGGGGGCCCGCACAAGCGGUGGAGCAUGUGGUUUAAUUCGAUGCAACGCGAAGAACCUUACCUGGUCUUGACAUCCAUAGAAUCUUUCAGAGAUGAGAGAGUGCCUUCGGGAGCUAUGAGACAGGUGCUGCAUGGCUGUCGUCAGCUCGUGUUGUGAAAUGUUGGGUUAAGUCCCGCAACGAGCGCAACCCCUAUCCUUUGUUGCCAGCACGUAAUGGUGGGAACUCAAAGGAGACUGCCGUUGAUAAAGCGGAGGAAGGUGGGGACGACGUCAAGUCAUCAUGGCCCUUACGACCAGGGCUACACACGUGCUACAAUGGCGUAUACAAAGGGAUGCGAAGGUGCGAACUGGAGCGGACCUCACAAAGUACGUCUAAGUCCGGAUUGGAGUCUGCAACUCGACUCCAUGAAGUCGGAAUCGCUAGUAAUCGUGAAUCAGAAUGUCACGGUGAAUACGUUCCCGGGCCUUGUACACACCGCCCGUCACACCAUGGGAGUGGGUUGCACCAGAAGUAGAUAGCUUAACCUUCGGGAGGGCGUUUACCACGGUGUGGUUCAUGACUGGGGUGAAGUCGUAACAAGGUAACCA